This 391-nucleotide unclassified non-coding RNA is filed under the name soil metagenome. RNAcentral describes it as "partial contains 5.8S ribosomal RNA, internal transcribed spacer 2, and large subunit ribosomal RNA". The stretch from base 1 to 122 matches the Rfam family "5.8S ribosomal RNA", at positions 35 to 154 of the family's 154-position model. The record is from RNAcentral.
GAUGAAGAACGUAGUGAAAUGCGAUACUUGGUGUGAAUUGCAGAAUCCCGUGGACCAUCGAGUCUUUGAACGCAAGUUGCGCCCGAAGCCAUUAGGCCGAGGGCACGCCUGCCUGGGCGUCACACGUCGUUGCCCCCCCAUCUACUCCUUCGGGAUUGCGGGGGGCGGAUGAUGGCCUCCCGUGCGCCUCGUCGCGCGGUUGGCAUAAAUGCCAAGUCCUCGGCGACGCACGCCACGACAAUCGGUGGUUGCGAAACCUCGGUUGCCCGUCGUGUGCGGUCGUCGCGCAUCGAGGGCUCGAAAAAAUUGUCGGGCUCCGGCUCGGCUUUCAACGCGACCCCAGGUCAGGCGGGGUUACCCGCUGAAUUUAAGCAUAUCAAUAAGCGGAGGA